AGCCACUGACUAACGUACAUUG
RNAcentral lists this microRNA (22 nucleotides) under Salmo salar (Atlantic salmon). Its description in RNAcentral is "ssa-miR-210-5p". Its record names the gene ssa-miR-210-5p. Lineage: Eukaryota; Metazoa; Chordata; Actinopteri; Salmoniformes; Salmonidae. The record is from miRBase by way of RNAcentral.